This is a small nucleolar RNA of Cynara cardunculus var. scolymus (artichoke), 107 nucleotides long. NCBI's taxonomy places the organism in Eukaryota, Viridiplantae, Streptophyta, Magnoliopsida, Asterales, Asteraceae. The record is from RefSeq and is a predicted model, not a curated record.
AUGCCAUGGUGUGGGCAUUUCCUCAACAACUCUUUAAACCUUUCCCACGCGUCAGGAACAGCCUCAUCGUCCAUUUGUCUAAAAAGACAGAUUUCAUUCCUGGACUU